RNAcentral lists this ribosomal RNA (496 nucleotides) under uncultured bacterium. RNAcentral's name for it is "partial 16S ribosomal RNA". It matches the Rfam family "Bacterial small subunit ribosomal RNA", at positions 28 to 507 of the family's 1533-position model. The record is from RNAcentral.
GAUGAACGCUGGCGGCGUGCCUAAUACAUGCAAGUCGAGCGAACAGAUAGGAAGUUGUUCCUUUUACGGUUGGCGCGGGCCGGGGGGGUAAAAGUUGGGUACCUACCUAUUAGAACGGGGUAAAUUCCGGAAACCAGAGCACAUUACGGACAAAUAUUCCAAACGGCUGGUUUCAUAGGGAAAGAGGGUUUUGCUUACACUUAUAAGUGGACCCGGGCCGUAUUAGCUAGUUGGGAAGGUAACGGCUUACCAAGGCGACGAUACGUAGCCGACCUGAGAGGGUGAUCGGCCACACUGGAACUGAGACACGGUCCAGACUCCUACGGGAGGCAGCAGUAGGGAAUCUUCCGCAAUGGGCGAAAGCCUGACGGAGCAACGCCGCGUGAGUGAUGAAGGUCUUCGGAUCGUAAAACUCUGUUAUUAGGGAAGAACAUACGUGUAAGUAACUGUGCACGUCUUGACGGUACCUAAUCAGAAAGCCACGGCUAACUACGUG